Long non-coding RNA from Pteropus alecto (black flying fox), 1036 nucleotides. RefSeq lists it as uncharacterized. The transcript has 2 exons. The record is from RefSeq and is a predicted model, not a curated record. NCBI's taxonomy places the organism in Eukaryota, Metazoa, Chordata, Mammalia, Chiroptera, Pteropodidae.
CCGCCGCCGCCGCCGCCUCAAGCCCAGCGCCAGGCCCAAACCCGGAAACCGUCCACGGCGCGUCGGCCGCGCCGGAAGCGGAACCAGGGCUUACUUAUUUGGCCCAACAGCCAUGUCCUUCCUGUAUAUGUCACAUUGUGAAAUUUAGUCUGGGGGAAGCUACAAGACAAAGGACCCAAUUUUUUCAACAAGAAGAAAAAUACAAGAUGGAGGGGAAGCCCAAAGAUUAAAAGAGAUUUUAGAGGCAACUCAACUGCCUGCAAUGCAAGAUCGUCGUUUGGAUCUUGAUUCAAGUAAACUUCAAAAAGCAACAAAGAAGAACAUGUAGAGAAUAAUUUGGAAAUGUGAUCACUUGACUAUCUGAUAUUAAGAAAUUACUUUUGAUUUUGUGUGUGUGAGAAUGGAAUUCUGCAGGAGGAGGUGGAGGUCAAAAGCAGAAUGUUUCUAAGGUGUCGGGGGCAGGUCUUUCAGUGUUGGACCCUGAGUAUACUGGGCAGAGCUCCUGAUAGAAUAGUUCUGGAGUGAUGGACACUGCUGGCUGAUGGGUUGGAAGCAGCCCUGAAGAAUAAAUCGGCCUUAAAGAUGCUCAAUUGAGCUCUCUGUUGUUGUGAGAUGGGACUAUUCCCUCUGAUGGUGAAUAGUUGAGUAGCCUAUUGUUCAGAUAAAUGGAUUCUCAGGAAAUUCCUGAAGGAAACAGCACAGUUGUUUGCAACUUUAUCUUCUCAAAUAAAGUCCUAUUUGGACAGUGUGGCAUCAUAAGUAGUCAUCUUGAUGGAGACAGUGAGCUGAAGGCUGUGGCUGGCUUCAGUCCUCAAAGUGCUGGUUGUGUCUUGCAUAAAUGAUAUAAUGUGUAUCUCUCCACAACUUGUCCUUGUCAAUUAAUGAAUUAUUGCUACAUCAUAGCUCCUAGAUCACCCGCUGCAGGUCAUUCCACAGUACAAAGGCACUGUAGUUUAUUAAUGGAUAUUCACUUUGGUUCCACUUUUUCACAAUUGAAAAUAUGCUGCAAUAAAUAUCCUCUGCUGUGCUGUCUUGA